GGCUGUGAGGGCGAUCUGGCUGUGACAUCUGUCACCCCACUGAUCGCCAGGGUUGAUUCGGCUGAUCUGGCUGGCUAGGCGGGUGUCCCCUUCCUCCCUCAAUGAUCCAUGUGCGACCCUCCCGAAGCUGCGCGCUCAGUCGAAGAGGACGACUUCCCCCGAGAGAGGAGGACCGUUCCUCGGUCAAGGGUGUACGAGUAGCUGCGCUCCCCUGCUGGAACCUCCAAACAAGCUCUCAGGAACAUUUGGUGAUAUUAAAGAGUUACUGGUAACACAUUUUAGCAUGAUAAAGAUUUUUUUUAAUCAGAAUUUA
This 313-nucleotide small nuclear RNA is filed under the name Octodon degus (degu). Its description in RNAcentral is "7SK RNA (ENSODEG00000024527.1)". It matches the Rfam family "7SK RNA". Rfam says of the family: 7SK was discovered as an abundant small nuclear RNA in the mid-70s but a possible function has only recently been suggested. Two independent studies have found that 7SK RNA binds the CDK9/cyclin T complex (known as elongation factor P-TEFb). P-TEFb activates transcription by phosphorylating the C-terminal domain of RNA polymerase II. Lineage: Eukaryota; Metazoa; Chordata; Mammalia; Rodentia; Octodontidae. The record is from RNAcentral.